UACGUAGGGGGCAAGCGUUGUCCGGAUUUAUUGGGCGUAAAGGGCGCGUAGGCGGCUACGCACGUCCGUUGUGAAAUCUCCCGGCUCAACUGGGAGGGUGCGCCGAAUACUGAAAGACUUCGAGUGCGGGAGAGGAAAGUGGAAUUCCUGGUGUAGCGGUGAAAUGCGUAGAUAUCAGGAGGAACACCGGUGGUGUAGACGGCUUUCUGGACCGUAACUGACGCUGAGACACGAAAGCGUGGGUAGCAAACAGG
RNAcentral lists this ribosomal RNA (254 nucleotides) under uncultured bacterium. Its description in RNAcentral is "partial 16S ribosomal RNA". It matches the Rfam family "Bacterial small subunit ribosomal RNA", at positions 524 to 776 of the family's 1533-position model. The record is from RNAcentral.